GACGAACCGUGCGACCGUUGUUCGGAUUCACUGGGCUUAAAGGGCGCGUAGGCGGAUGGUCAAGUCGGGGGUGAAAGCCCUGGGCUCAACCCAGGAAGUGCACUCGAAACUGCCUCGCUGGAGUGCCGGAGAGGAAAGCGGAAUUCUCGGUGUAGAGGUGAAAUUCGUAGAUAUCGAGAGGAACACCGGUGGCGAAGGCGGCUUUCUGGACGGUUACUGACGCUGAGACGCGAAAGCGUGGGGAGCAAACAGG
This 253-nucleotide ribosomal RNA is filed under the name uncultured bacterium. RNAcentral's name for it is "partial 16S ribosomal RNA". It matches the Rfam family "Bacterial small subunit ribosomal RNA", at positions 524 to 776 of the family's 1533-position model. The record is from RNAcentral.